This is a long non-coding RNA of Clupea harengus (Atlantic herring), 1348 nucleotides long. Lineage: Eukaryota; Metazoa; Chordata; Actinopteri; Clupeiformes; Clupeidae. The record is from Ensembl.
CGACGGGGGGCAGCGACAGACAGUAAUGUAUUGUUUCGACUGAGUAAAUGGAAUUCUGCAUUAUGCAUCCAAUUACACGUCCGCGGUUUGUAGCCGGGCAAUCAGCACAAAGAUAAAGUAUGGAUUUAUGUAACUGUCUGAUAAUACAUCUCGGACUGCUUUCCAGUUUCCUGAAUACCUCCUCGUAGAACGUAGCACCAAUAAAUCAAAAAGCUAUACCUAGUUUAAUUAGACUAUUGGGUUUAAUUAAAGAGAACCGACGCAUUCCCAUGGCAGUUUGUAAUGGUUGUGUUGUACAAGUUAUCCUCCCUUGAAAACUUAAAUGAUUAUAUUUCAGCUUUAAACUUGAUUCUAUACUUUAAAAUAAAUGUACAUACAGAACUUGAUAUUUUGGAGAGCUAGAGCGCUAGGUUGAAAUAUUGGCUACGUUAGCCUGUUCCUUACAAAAAAAUCAGAAGCCCAUAUCUCAAAAAUGACUAACGAUGGAUCUCAGACCAUCAUCUCUUUACAAGAUGUAGCUAACAAAAACAAGUGUAUUCCCUGACGACACAGAAUGUGUUUUACAGCAGCAACCAGUGAGGUAAAGUGCAUAUUUUACGCACCAGCGCGGGGAGGGAGAGCAGAGAGUGUGCUGAUUUGCCAAUGGUAGAGUCCAACAGCUGAUUGUUUGCUCGAGAGUCGAGACACUAAACACAGAGCGAGGGAUCUGCGAGCGCUUCGCGCAGUAUACGAGGUUGGAAAGGUUGUCAGAGUACUUCACUGGCGGGACGUGGCUAUGAGGAUGUCCGUGGGGAGGAGAUGCUUUUAAGGAAAAGCUUUCUGGCCCUCCAUCCCCAAGGACCUCACACUCACACCGCUCUCACCUCCUCUGAGGGCGACAGCAGAUAAAUCUCUGGAGUGUCACGACUAAGCACACCUCAAGCUCCCAGGAGAGAGACAGAGAGAGAGAGAGAGAGAGAGAGAGAGAGAGAGAGAGACAGAGAGAGAGAGGGAACGAGAGUGAGAGGGACAGAGAGAGAGAGAAAGAGUGAGAGAUCCCAGUUGACCCCUCCCUGGGCACAUCGCCUCACAGUGCCAAGAGCGACAUUCAGCUCUGCUUCCUGCUCUCUCUUUCCCAUUGCCGGCAGCCUCCUCUUCCUCCCCCCGGUUCCUUAUUCAGGUCUGGCUCUUGCCCGUACCUGGUCUAAAUAAUUAGGCCAGUGGACAGUCUGCUUGUCCUGACCCGUGGUGUGGCGUGUCAUGUAGCGUGCAACAGGGCUGCAGUGUCGUCAGGCUCCUGAUUAAACACCGAACCCAAUUAAGAGGGAGAGAGGUGGGGAAGGCCCAUCUGGAGUGUGACUCUUUCUCU